This 516-nucleotide ribosomal RNA is filed under the name Triticum aestivum (bread wheat). RNAcentral's name for it is "partial small subunit ribosomal RNA". Lineage: Eukaryota; Viridiplantae; Streptophyta; Magnoliopsida; Poales; Poaceae. The record is from RNAcentral.
GGGGGAAACAUCGAUUGCGCCAGUAAGACGAUUUUGCUUAUCACCCCAGAAGGAAGAAGGAUUAAGUAUGUAUCCCAGCAUGUGCCGAAGAGGACUCAAGUAAAUUCCUUAUCAGGAGUUGUACAGGAAGAAGUACCAGUGGUGAAGGAUUACCCGGAUAUAUUUCUAGAAGAGUUGCCAGGCAUGCCACCAGAUAGAGACAUAGAGUUUUUGAUUGAACUUUUGCCAGGCACAGGGCCGAUAUCUAAGAGACCGUACAAGAUGCCCGCUAAGGAUUUGGAAGAAAUUAAGAAGCAGAUUAAGGAGUUACUGGAUAAAGGCUAUAUUCGCCCAAGUUCUUCACCUUGGGGAUCACCCGUACUUCUAGUGGAGAAGAAAGAUGGAUCGUUGAGGAUGGUUGUUGAUUACCGUGGAUUGAAUGAAGUGACCAUCAAAAAUAAGUACCCACUGCCGAUGAUCAAUGAUUUGUUUGACCGAUUACAAGGAGCUAAGGUAUUUUCCAAGAUCGAUCUAUGA